This 21-nucleotide non-coding RNA is filed under the name Arabidopsis thaliana (thale cress). The record is from RNAcentral. Lineage: Eukaryota; Viridiplantae; Streptophyta; Magnoliopsida; Brassicales; Brassicaceae.
UAUUCCAGGAUAUGCAAAAGA